UUCCGUUGAUCCUGCGGAAGAUUGCUGCUAUUAAGGUUCGACUAAGCCAUGCAAGUUUGCUCUUCUUCGGGAGGGCGGCAAACUGCUCAGUAACACGUCAAUAAUCUAACCUUGGGUCUAGUAUAACCUCGGGAAACUGAGGCUAAAACUGGAUAAGAUAUUUGUACUGGAAUGUCUUUUAUCUGAAAAGUAAUGCCCAAGGAUGAGUUGGCGGCGGAUUAGGUUGUUGGUGGGGUAAAGGCCCACCAAGCCGAAGAUCCGUAGGGGCCUUGAGAGAGGUAGCCCCGAGAAGGACACUGAGAUACUGGUCCUAGCCCUACGGGGUGCAGCAGGCGCGAAACCUUUACAAUGCACGAAAGUGUGAUAAGGGAACCUUGAGUGCUUUGCUUUUAGCAAGGCUUUUGCCAAGAGUAAAUAUCUUGGCGAAUAAGUGGUGGGAAAGACUGGUGCCAGCAGCCGCAGUAACACCAGCGCCACGAGUGGCAGUCACGAUUAUUGGGUCUAAAGCGUCCGUAGCCGGUUUGAUAAGUCUUUUGUGAAAUUGUUGUCCUAAAUGCAACAGCGUGCAAAAGAUACUGUCAAACUUGGAACUGGGAGGAGUAAGGAGUAUUUUAAGGGGAGCGGUAAAAUGCUAUAAUCCUUAGAAGACUACCUGUGGCGAAAGCGCCUUACUAGAACAGCUUCGACGGUGAGGGACGAAAGCCAGGGGAGCGAACCGGAUUAGAUACCCGAGUAGUCCUGGCCAUAAACGCUGUGAGCAAGAUGCUGCAUAUUCUUCGUGAAUGUGCAGUGUCGAAGAGAAGUCGUUAAGCUCACCACCUGGGAAGUAUGGUCGCAAGGCUGAAACUUAAAGGAAUUGGCGGGGGAGCACCACAAGGGGUGCGGCGUGCGGUUUAAUCUAAUUCAACACAGAGAAUCUCACCAGCAGCGACGGCAGGAUGAAGAUCAGUCUGAAGGGCUUAUCUAACGAGCCGAGAGGUAGUGCAUGGCCGUCGUCAGCUCGUGCUGUAAAGUGUCCUGUUAAGUCAGGCAACGAGCAAGACCUGUGCCUACAAUUGCUAACGACUCUUUUUGGAGAAUCGAGCACAUUGUAGGGACUGCCUUCGAAAGGAGGAGGAAGGUGCAGGCUACGAUAGGUCUGUAUGCUCCGAAUCUGCUGGGCUACACGCGCGCAACAAUGGUAAGGACAGAAGGAUGCGACUCUGAAAAGAGAAGCUAAUCCCCUAAACCUUAUCUUAGUCUAGAUUGAGGAUUGUAACUCAUCCUCAUGACACUGGAAUCCCUAGUAAUCAGAUGUUAUCAGCGUCUGGUGAAUAUGUCCCUGCUCCUUGCACACACUGCCCGUCAAACCACUCGAGCAGGGUUUGGGUGAGGCUUAGUUUUAAAUUGAGCCGAAUCUAAACUCAGUGAGAUGGGUUAAGUCGUCACAAGGUA
RNAcentral lists this ribosomal RNA (1434 nucleotides) under metagenome. RNAcentral describes it as "bacterial SSU rRNA". It matches the Rfam family "Archaeal small subunit ribosomal RNA". The record is from RNAcentral.